AUGAGGCACAAUCUCUCCUUCCCUGGCCACGUUGCCUCUGGCCACAUCUCCUCCCAACAUCACACCGUGUUAUCCCCACAGCACGUCACCUCUGCGCAACUCCCUCCUGGCCACAUCACCUCUGGCCUCACUGCCUGCCUCCCUCCCUCCUGGUGGCCUCCGUGGCUCCUGCUGUCUACCCUCCCGUGGGUGUUUUCGAGGCUCUUUCCCCAUUUUCUGCUCCUGAGUGGGUCUCGGGGCCUGGAUGUUUCACAGGAUGCAAGUUUCUUCCCUUCCAGCCACGGGUCUCUGAGCGACAAGUCCAGAGAGGGCACUAAGCUCUCCUUACCCACCUGGGGGCCCCGAGCCCUGACCGCCGACCACCAGGGCUUUUCUGUAGGGUGUGGGGCAGAGUCAUGUGUGAAUUGGGCUAAAAAGGUGCUUCCAGGAAUCCUUGUUUUAAGUGCACUGGAGCAGAGCUGGGGAGCGGGGACCACCUGGUUUGCUCAGAAUUUGGUCCUGAUCACAGCCGAUGAGUCAACAUAAGUACCUCCUGAAUGAAGCAUUCCACAGACUGAUUUUACACAUGACGGUUGUGAUGGCUGGAAAAGGCUUCACACAAUGAGAGAGUUUGAGCUGCAUUUGAAGGAAGAACAGGUCCCUGUAGGUGGAAAUGAAAGAUAAGGGUGAUCCAAGCCCUCAGCAGCAGCGGGGUUGGGGUGGUGCGGACUCCCCAUGGAUGGUGGGCAUGGCUGAAAUGCAGGAGAGGGCAGGGGUGCGAAGCAACAGCAGGGCGGCAUUAAAAUUCCCCUGCAGAGAGGGGACGUGACUGAGAUACUAUCACAUGUAUACAACUGAGAGAUGAUUUGAGAAUGAUUUCUGGGAGCCUGUGGGAAGAGCACGUGGUCAUCAUCAGUUCUCGGGAUCUCUUUAUGAAGUGAAAGAGCCGUGCCUCUGCCUAUCUUGUGAGCUGUUAAGAUCAAAUCGGAUAAUCUUCAGUGAGCCUUGUAAAUGCUAAAGCUUAUGACAGGCUGUUCCAUCCCCCUUGUCUUCACCCUCCUUUCCUCCUCGGAAACGUGAACCCUGCUGGGUACCUCAUUAUCUGCCUGGCUUCCUCAUCCAUAACGUGAGCCCUGAGUACUUGCUGGGUAUCUCGCUGUUCACCUUCCUUCCUCAGUAACAUGAACCCUGAGUAUUUGCUGGGUACCUCGCUGCCUGCCGUACAGCUGGUUGUAUCCGUCUCAAACGCACUUAGCUGGCACAUAAGCAGAAGUGCUCGCCGGGCUUUGGGAGGGCUUUCUGACAUGUGGGUGCCUGCUUUUCCCUGUUAGGCUGGAGCUGCAGGAGCCCUCCUAGACCAGACAGAGGACCAAGGCUGUGGCCUCGGGGUGGGGGCUGGGGGAGUUCGCUGGGUUUAUUGUGUGGGUGAGAGCAAACUUCAGUCCCACUGCGGCAUCGGGAUUCAGGGUUCCUUCUGGAAUGUUCUGAGUGAGAAACAGGAAGUGUGCACAGGUGCGUCUUCUGCGGAUUUUAUGGUUAUCUUGAGAGAGAGCACUGGUGCCUCUGAGCUAUGAACCUGCAGAACCACUUCUUCCACUAACGGUCGCCUUUAUAGAAAGAAUGACUUGCAAACGAUGCCACUUCAGAUGGAGGUAUUUGCAGGUGUGGCCUGAAAAAUGAACAAAAUGACUCAUCUCAAGGAAAGUACCUUACAUUAUUCCCAAUGAUAGACAUUUGGCUUUCCAGCGAAUAUUAAAAUAUAAAAAUCUUGUGUCCACCACUUUCUCAUGUGAUCAAUGGUGAUACUGAUGUGGUUUUUUUUUGACAUAUAAUGUGGAAGCUGCUCAUAACUCUGAACCAGUGUUUUCUAACCAAUGUGUGAUUAUAAAAUCGUGUGCUGGGAAAAGCCAUUCAAGUGCAAGACGGACCAGUCGACUUAGAAGGAAUUGGGGCAGAAAGGCCCGUCGACCAGAGCACAGACUCUGUUGCAGACAGCCUGUACGGAAGUGCCACUUGUUACAUUUGGCAGCAGAGAAUACCUAAAAUGAUCUGAAAACACAAUGAAAAUACUGCUUCCUAAUUGUAUAUCAGUAUGGGGUCGGACUUUCUUCAUAAACUUCAGCCACGGCUCUGCAGCCCACUGAACGCAGAUGCAGGCAUGAGAAUCCUGCUGUCUGAGGUGCAGAGAUGUUAGGUGUUUUCACAGCAGCACAAACUGUUGCCACGCUGCUGCUUAUUUUGGAAAAUGGUUUCUUCUUUAAGACUGUGUUAAGAUGUAAUGACUUUAUCAUUGUAAAAUGAACUAAAUUUUUUUUUUUUUUUUUUUUUUUGAGACGGAGUCUUGCUCUGCCACGCAGGCCGGAGUGCGGUGGUGUGACCUCAGCUCACUUCAACCUCUGCCUCCUGAGUUCAAGCGAUUCUCCUGCCUCAGCCUCCCUAGUAGCUGGUACUACAGGUGUUCGCACCAUGCCAGGCUAAUUUUUGUAUUUUAGUAGAGACGGGUUUCACCAUGUUGGCCAGGCCGGUCUCGAACUCCUGACCUCAAGUGAUCCACCUGCCUCUGCCUCCCAAAGUGCUGGGAUUACAGGCAUGAGCAGCCACCACUCCCGGCCUGAUGAGAAAGCUUUUUUGUGCUCUUUAAUAAAGUGCAAAGGGUUCCUGAGACCCAAAAGUUUGAAAACCACUGGCUUAAACCGACAAAAUUGUCCACGAUUCUUCAGUGUAUCUUCUAAUCUGUUGAUUGGAGAAAGGACGGAAGGGUUGCUUUACUUUUUUCCUUUCACAACUCAAUGGUGCUGGGACAACUGGGGUAUCCACAUGGAAAAGGAUGGACUGGACCCUUCCUCACCGUAUAAGCAAAGCUCAACAUGGAUCCAACGUAAGGAGCUGACUGAGACCCAUUCUGUCAGUCUGCUGGGUACCAUAACGGACACCACAGACCGUGCGACUUAGACAAUAGCAUCUUAUUUCCUUUUUCCUGGAGACUGGAAGCCUGGGAUCAAGGUGCGGGCAGGGUUGGAUUCUCUGGGGCCUCACCCCAUGCUGUGUAGACAGCAUCUUCUCUGUGUCCUCACAGGUUUCUCUUAUGUGCAUGCAGCACUGAGGACUGUAUGUCUAAAUUCUCUUAAAAGAACACCAGUCAUACUGGAUCAGGGCCUACUUUUAAGAUCUUAUGGGACCUAAAUUGCCAAGUUAAAGGCCCUGUAUGUAAAUACAGUGACAUUUUGAGUUUCUGGGGUUGUGACUUUAACAUGGAAUCUUGGGGGAGGGGGACAGUUCAGCCAUAACACCUUUAGGGGAGAAUCCUGGAGAAACUGUUAGGUUGGAUUAGGCAAUGUUUCCUUGGCUGAGACGUCUAAAGCUAUAACAAGCAACUGAAGGGAAAAAGACGGUAUCAAAAUUAAAAAUGUUCAUUUCAGAGGAUACUAUUAAAGUAAAAAGACAACCCACAGAACAGGAUACAUUAUCACGAUAAGGACCUGAUAUCAAGAAUAUAUUUUAAAGCUCUUAAUAAAAAUCCAAUUUAAAAAUGGAAAAAGGAUUUGAAUAGACAUUCUCCAGAGAAAGACAUAUAAAUGCCUUAAAAAGCACGUGAGAUGUUUAGCAGAAUUCGUCAUCUUAGAAAUGGAAAUCAAAACCACUGAGAUACCACUUCACAACCACUGGAUGGGUAAAACCCCAGUAUUGGACAGUGACAUGGUGGUGAAUUGGGGAAAACUGAAAUCUUGAUAUAUUGCUAGUGGGAGGGGAAGUAAAAUGGUACAGUUGAUUUGGAAAAGUCUGGCAGUUCCUCAGAAAAGCAUGAAAUCACCAUACGACCCAGCAAUUUCACUCCUAGCCAUAUGCCAAGAAAAUGAAAACAUUUUUCCAAAAAAUAUGUCAUGCCAGAAUCUUCAUAGCAGCAUUAUUCUAGUAGUAGAAACAGUCCAGGUGUCUGUCAACAGGUCACUCACUGGAGAUUCCACUCACCUUGACGUGAAAGAUGUCAGCACCGAAGGUCACCCAAAGGUCAUGCACUGUACGAUUCUCCUCACAACAGGUGUCCAGAAUGGGCAAAUCCAGAGAAAAGGAAGUCGGCUGGUGAUUGCCAGGGGCUGGUGAAGGAAGGAGCCAGGUGCUGACUCUUAAUGGGUUCAAGGUUUCUUUGGCCUGUGGUGAAAAAGUCCCGGAAUUACAUACUAGUGGUUGAUGUGCAGCUUUUAGAAUAUGCUAAAAAGACUGAAUUGUAUCUUUAAUAUUGGGGCUUUUGUGCUUUGUAAAUUCU
Molecule: long non-coding RNA, 4243 nt
Filed under: Macaca mulatta (Rhesus monkey)
Lineage: Eukaryota; Metazoa; Chordata; Mammalia; Primates; Cercopithecidae
Description: lncRNA (ENSMMUG00000055310.1)
Source: RNAcentral